RNAcentral lists this ribosomal RNA (466 nucleotides) under uncultured bacterium. RNAcentral describes it as "partial 16S ribosomal RNA". It matches the Rfam family "Bacterial small subunit ribosomal RNA", at positions 28 to 507 of the family's 1533-position model. The record is from RNAcentral.
GAUGAACGCUGGCGGCGUGCUUAACACAUGCAAGUCGAACGGAAAGGCUCCUGCUUUCAGGGGUACUCGAGUGGCGAACGGGUGAGUAACACGUGGGUGAUCUGCCCUGCACUUCGGGAUAAGCCUGGGAAACUGGGGCUAAUACCGGAUAGGACGAUGUUUUGGAUGGCAGUGUUGGAAGUUUUUUCGGUGUGGGAUGAGCUCGCGGCCUAUCAGCUUGUUGGUGGGGUAAUGGCCUACCAAGGCGUCGACGGGUAGCCGGCCUGAGAGGGUGUACGGCCACAUUGGGACUGAGAUACGGCCCAGACUCCUACGGGAGGCAGCAGUGGGGAAUAUUGCACAAUGGGCGCAAGCCUGAUGCAGCGACGCCGCGUGGGGGAUGACGGCCUUCGGGUUGUAAACUCCUUUCGCUAGGGACGAAGCGCAAGUGACGGUAACUGGAGAAGAAGCACCGGCUAACUACGUG